Molecule: long non-coding RNA, 1996 nt
Organism: Orbicella faveolata
Lineage: Eukaryota; Metazoa; Cnidaria; Anthozoa; Scleractinia; Merulinidae
Source: RefSeq, a predicted model, not a curated record
CAUUUCCCACAGAAUUGGUCUGAAUUGUGGCUGGAUGAAGCUUUCUGGCAGUUCUUGUUCUCUAUUGUCCUGCUUGUGAUUAUGGUUUUGUGGCGACCCACUGCGAACAACCAGAGGUACGCCUUUACGCCCAUUGUCGACUUUGAUGGUAUGAAGAUGAGGAAUGUCAAGAACACCCCAGAAGUGAUAAUUAAUGGUGACGCCAAACGUAAACACAAGCCUGAAGAUGAUCUGAAGUGGGUGGAAGAGAAUAUUCCCAGCUCUGCUGCCGACGCGUAAAUGCGUAAAAUGUUGAUUCGUAAUUUAUUGUAAGUAAUAGCUCCGCUCCAAGCCUUCCCUAGCAUGGGCCUAACAAGGUAAUAUAAGCUCAGAAAAAGAAAGCUUUUUUUCAUUUUCCAUUUUUUUGAAAUAAUAUUUUGAGAUACAUUGGUAACAUUGGUACGUGUAGUGCCAAAAAAAAAUGAUUAUUAAAAUACAUUGGUUACAUAAAAGAUUAUAUUCAAAGGCGAUCAAUUUAUUAAUUCCAAUGAGCAGGGUAUACCUUAAAGCACCCGUUACUAUAUCAAUUGUAAGAUAGAGCUAGUUUUGAUCUGCAUGGUGCUGUUAUUGAAAAUCUUCCAGAGGUUUUAUAGAUUAGGUUUACAGAGGGAUAAAGUUCAAUUUUGAAGCAGUUUCAGAGUAAGGCUCCCUUCCCCUUUUGUCUGGGUCCCAUAUACCAUAGGGCUUGAAGAAGACUGAGUGAGUUAGCCCCUUCAUAGUGCGCCCUCGUAAAAUGACAAGGGAACCGACUGCUUUUCUCUCACCAUUUAAUAUUAUUGUCGCUUUUACUUCAACAAGAAAUUUGUUACUUGUAGUCUAAGAAGUUACAUUUUCCACAUAACAGUGGUCUGAUCAUAAAUGUAUAUUUUGCAGUAGAUAACGUUGAGGUUCUGAUGCAAAUAUAUUCCCGGGGUCGGUGUAUCCAGUAAGAAAUGUGAUGGGCAAAAUCUAAUCAGUUAAAAGCAAGAAAAUCGAAUGCUAGCCAGUUAGAAUAGCGUUGGACCUAUGUCCAAGUGUUCCUUAUAAGUUGAAGAGCCAGUUUUCUUUCUCACUAACUUCAUCGAGAAGAAAAAGCAAAAGUUGGUGAAAGGUUUUACAAAGGCCGUUCUGAAACGCGUUAGGGUUUAGAAAGUCGCCGGAGCCUGAAAUAAACCAACCAAUCAGAUUGGCUAGCAUACUCGAUCGUGAUCCUGCGCUUCAGCUCUUAAAACUUGUUUGAUAUUUGAAAAUUUUAAAUGAAGAUUUAAAUGAAAGCGAAACCUUGUUUUCCGUUAUAUGUAAAUAGCCUAAGUAGGGCAGCAGUGAAUGAGGUGUGUUAUAAAUUUAAGGGGAACAGCCUUGACACUACCUCGCACGCCAUAAACAUGUUUCUUUGUAAUAUUUUCUGCUUUACUGGAUGUUUUCACCAUCCGCCAAAAUAUGGGGUUAUAGAGGCUUUUCUUUAAAGUAAUUUCGUUUCUUGAGUUCUCACAGCGCGUUGCCCCCUUAAGGAGCGCGGGCUCUGGGAAGGAGAUAACCUUAGUGCCCAGUUCCCUCUGGGAUUCGCCCUCAACAAAACAAGUCCAAGACUCGGCAACGUUGCACACGACCAUGGAACUUACAGGCAGCUCUCGUAAAGGGAACUAGGUAUUACGUUAAAUUUUGGGACUUAGUCAGGGAGUGCGUGACUUGUUAAACAGAAAUUGGGGAGUUUAACGUUAGUAAAAUUUGUUUGAAGCUUUUUCGGUUGACCCGGCCAAAAACUGUGAUGACUAGCUCGUUUUCGCGGGUUUUAUUUAUCAAUAGUUGUAGUAUUUGUUAUCGCUUAGUAUCAAAGUCGUCAGAUUUUUCAGAUCCUAGAGAUUCUUUUGUUUCUGAUCAAAUUCAUAGCCCUUCCAGCUGUGAAAUAGACGAUCUGUUGUUUUGUGGUUGUAAUUACUAAGAGUUGAAAGUACGUUAUUAAAUUAAAUUUCGGCAA